AACGAACGCUGGCGGCAGGCUUAACACAUGCAAGUCGAACGCCCCGCCCGGGGAGUUGCAGGCUGGUGAGUAACGCGUGGGAACAUACCCUUUUCUACGGAAUAGCUCUGGGAAACUGGAAUUAAUACCGUAUACGCCCUACGGGGGAAAGAUUUAUCGGGGUAGGUUUGGCCCGCGGUGGAUUUGCUAGUGGGUGGGGUAAAGGCAUACCAAGGCGACGAUUCAUGGCUGGGAUGAGAGGAGGAUCAGCCAGAUUGGGACUGAGACACGGCCCAAACUCGUACGGGAGGGAGCAGUGGGGAAUACAGGAGGAUGGGCGCAAGCGUGAUCAAGCCAUGCCGCGUGAGUGGGGAAGGGCGUAGGGUAGUGAAGCCCUUUCACCGAUGAAGAUAAUGACGGUAGUCGGAGAAGAAGCCCCGGCUAACUUCGUG
Molecule: ribosomal RNA, 431 nt
Filed under: uncultured bacterium
Lineage: Bacteria
Description: partial 16S ribosomal RNA
Rfam family: Bacterial small subunit ribosomal RNA
Source: RNAcentral